This 253-nucleotide ribosomal RNA is filed under the name uncultured bacterium. RNAcentral describes it as "partial 16S ribosomal RNA". It matches the Rfam family "Bacterial small subunit ribosomal RNA", at positions 524 to 776 of the family's 1533-position model. The record is from RNAcentral.
UACGAAGGGGGCUAGCGUUGUUCGGAAUCACUGGGCGUAAAGCGCACGUAGGCGGAUUGUUAAGUCGGGGGUGAAAUCCUGAGGCUCAACCUCAGAACUGCCUCCGAUACUGGCAAUCUCGAGUUCGGAAGAGGUUGGUGGAACAGCUAGUGUAGAGGUGAAAUUCGUAGAUAUUAGCUAGAACACCAGUGGCGAAGGCGGCCAACUGGUCCGACACUGACGCUGAGGUGCGAAAGCGUGGGGAGCGAACAGG